This 684-nucleotide ribosomal RNA is filed under the name uncultured Bacilli bacterium. Its description in RNAcentral is "bacterial SSU rRNA". It matches the Rfam family "Bacterial small subunit ribosomal RNA", at positions 83 to 753 of the family's 1533-position model. Lineage: Bacteria; Bacillati; Bacillota; Bacilli. The record is from RNAcentral.
GGAAAAAGAGGAGUGGCGAACGGGUGAGUAACACGUGGGUAACCUGCCCAUCAGAAGGGGAUAACACUUGGAAACAGGUGCUAAUACCGUAUAACAAUCGAAACCGCAUGGUUUUGAUUUGAAAGGCGCUUUCGGGUGUCGCUGAUGGAUGGACCCGCGGUGCAGUAGCUAGUUGGUGAGGUAACGGCUCACCAAGGCCACGAUGCAUAGCCGACCUGAGAGGGUGAUCGGCCACAUUGGGACUGAGACACGGCCCAAACUCCUACGGGAGGCAGCAGUAGGGAAUCUUCGGCAAUGGACGGAAGUCUGACCGAGCAACGCCGCGUGAGUGAAGAAGGUUUUCGGAUCGUAAAACUCUGUUGUUAGAGAAGAACAAGGAUGAGAGUAACUGUUCAUCCCUUGACGGUAUCUAACCAGAAAGCCACGGCUAACUACGUGCCAGCAGCCGCGGUAAUACGUAGGUGGCAAGCGUUGUCCGGAUUUAUUGGGCGUAAAGCGAGCGCAGGCGGUUUCUUAAGUCUGAUGUGAAAGCCCCCGGCUCAACCGGGGAGGGUCAUUGGAAACUGGGAGACUUGAGUGCAGAAGAGGAGAGUGGAAUUCCAUGUGUAGCGGUGAAAUGCGUAGAUAUAUGGAGGAACACCAGCGGCGAAGGCGGCUCUCUGGUCUGUAACUGACGCUGAGGCU